AGAACUUAGCAGAGAUGCUUUGGUGCCUUCGGGAACUCUGAGACAGGUGCUGCAUGGCUGUCGUCAGCUCGUGUUGUGAAAUGUUGGGUUAACGUCCCGCAACGAGCGCAACCCUUAUCCUUUGUUGCCAGCGGCUCGGCCGGGAACUCAAAGGAGACUGCCGGUGAUAAACCGGAGGAAGGUGGGGAUGACGUCAAGUCAUCAUGGCCCUUACGGCCAGGGCUACACACGUGCUACAAUGGCGCAUACAAAGAGAAGCGACCUCGCGAGAGCAAGCGGACCUCAUAAAGUGCGUCGUAGUCCGGAUUGGAGUCUGCAACUCGACUCCAUGAAGUCGGAAUCGCUAGCAAUCGUAGAUCAGAAUGCUACGGUGAAUACGUUCCCGGGCCUUGUACACACCGCCCGUCACACCAUGGGAGUGGGUUGCAAAAGAAGUAGGUAGCUUAACCUUCGGGAGGGCGCUUACCACUUUGUGAUUCAUGACUGGGGUGAAGUCGUAACAAGGUAGGCGUAGUGCU
RNAcentral lists this ribosomal RNA (518 nucleotides) under uncultured bacterium. RNAcentral's name for it is "bacterial SSU rRNA". It matches the Rfam family "Bacterial small subunit ribosomal RNA", at positions 992 to 1509 of the family's 1533-position model. The record is from RNAcentral.